GACGAACGCUGGCGGCGUGCUUAACACAUGCAAGUCGAACGGUAAGGCCCUUCGGGGUACACGAGUGGCGAACGGGUGAGUAACACGUGGGUGAUCUGCCCUGCACUUCGGGAUAAACCUGGGAAACUGGGUCUAAUGCCGGAUAGGACCACUGCCUGCAUGGGUGGUGGUGGAAAGCUUUUGCGGUGUGGGAUGGGCCCGCGGCCUAUCAGCUUGUUGGUGGGGUGAUGGCCUACCAAGGCGACGACGGGUAGCCGGCCUGAGAGGGUGACCGGCCACACUGGGACUGGGAUACGGCCCAGACUCCUACGGGAGGCAGCAAUGGGGAAUAUUGCACAAUGGGCGCAAGCCUGAUGCAGCGACGCCGCGUGAGGGAUGACGGCCUUCGGGUUGUGAACCUCCUUCAGCACCGACGAAGCGCAAGUGACGGUAGGUGCAGAAGAAGGACCGGCCAACUACGUGCCAGCCGCCGCAGUAA
This 478-nucleotide ribosomal RNA is filed under the name uncultured bacterium. RNAcentral's name for it is "partial 16S ribosomal RNA". It matches the Rfam family "Bacterial small subunit ribosomal RNA", at positions 28 to 523 of the family's 1533-position model. The record is from RNAcentral.